Molecule: non-coding RNA, 72 nt
Organism: Phrynosoma platyrhinos (Desert horned lizard)
Lineage: Eukaryota; Metazoa; Chordata; Lepidosauria; Squamata; Phrynosomatidae
Source: the annotation of a GenBank genome assembly
GACAGUGUGGCAUAGUGGUUUGAGUGUUGGACUAGGACUCUGGAGAGCAGGGUUUGCUUCCCAGCUCAGCCA